ACGCUCGACACCUACGGGAGGCAGCAGUGGGGGAUAUUGCACAAUGGGGGAAACCCUGAUGCAGCGACGCCGCGUGAAGGAAGAAGGCCUUCGGUUGUAAACUUCUGUCGUACGGGACGAUAGUGACGGUACCGUACAAGAAAGCCACGGCUAACUACGUGUCAGCAGCCGCGGUAAUCUGAGCGGGCUGGCAAGGC
Molecule: ribosomal RNA, 197 nt
Filed under: uncultured bacterium
Lineage: Bacteria
Description: partial 16S ribosomal RNA
Rfam family: Bacterial small subunit ribosomal RNA
Source: RNAcentral